RNAcentral lists this ribosomal RNA (555 nucleotides) under Salmonella enterica. RNAcentral describes it as "partial 23S ribosomal RNA". It matches the Rfam family "Bacterial large subunit ribosomal RNA", at positions 634 to 1190 of the family's 2925-position model. Lineage: Bacteria; Pseudomonadati; Pseudomonadota; Gammaproteobacteria; Enterobacterales; Enterobacteriaceae. The record is from RNAcentral.
UCUGUAGCAAGGUUAACCGUAUAGGGGAGCCGAAGGGAAACCGAGUCUUAACCGGGCGUUAAGUUGCAGGGUAUAGACCCGAAACCCGGUGAUCUAGCCAUGGGCAGGUUGAAGGUUGGGUAACACUAACUGGAGGACCGAACCGACUAAUGUUGAAAAAUUAGCGGAUGACCUGUGGCUGGGGGUGAAAGGCCAAUCAAACCGGGAGAUAGCUGGUUCUCCCCGAAAGCUAUUUAGGUAGCGCCUCGUGAAUUCAUCUCCGGGGGUAGAGCACUGUUUCGGCUAGGGGGCCAUCCCGGCUUACCAACCCGAUGCAAACUGCGAAUACCGGAGAAUGUUAUCACGGGAGACACACGGCGGGUGCUAACGUCCGUCGUGAAGAGGGAAACAACCCAGACCGCCAGCUAAGGUCCCAAAGUCAUGGUUAAGUGGGAAACGAUGUGGGAAGGCCCAGACAGCCAGGAUGUUGGCUUAGAAGCAGCCAUCAUUUAAAGAAAGCGUAAUAGCUCACUGGUCGAGUCGGCCUGCGCGGAAGAUGUAACGGGGCUAAACCAU